GCAUUGGUGGUUCAGUGGUAGAAUUCUCACCUUCCAUGUGGGAGACCUGGGUUCAAUUCCCAGCCAAUGCA
RNAcentral lists this transfer RNA (71 nucleotides) under Trichechus manatus latirostris (Florida manatee). RNAcentral's name for it is "tRNA-Gly (TCC) (tRNA-Gly-TCC-7-1)". It matches the Rfam family "tRNA". Rfam says of the family: Transfer RNA (tRNA) molecules are approximately 80 nucleotides in length. Their secondary structure includes four short double-helical elements and three loops (D, anti-codon, and T loops). Further hydrogen bonds mediate the characteristic L-shaped molecular structure. tRNAs have two regions of fundamental functional importance: the anti-codon, which is responsible for specific mRNA codon recognition, and the 3' end, to which the tRNAs corresponding amino acid is attached (by aminoacyl-tRNA synthetases). tRNAs cope with the degeneracy of the genetic code in two manners: having more than one tRNA (with a specific anti-codon) for a particular amino acid; and 'wobble' base-pairing, i.e. permitting non-standard base-pairing at the 3rd anti-codon position. Lineage: Eukaryota; Metazoa; Chordata; Mammalia; Sirenia; Trichechidae. The record is from Rfam by way of RNAcentral.